AGAGUUUGAUCCUGGCUCAGAACGAACGCUUGCGGCGCGCCUAAUACAUACAAGUCGAACGACGUAGCAAUACGGAGUGGCGCACGGGUGAGUAACACGUGGAUAAUCUGCCCUCUACUGGGGAAUAACUAACCGAAAGGUUAGCUAACACCGCAUGAGACCACAGUGCCUGCGGGCACAGAGGUUAAAAAUUUAUUGGUAGAGGAUGAGUCUGCGCGGGAUUAGCUAGUUGGUGGGGUAAUGGCCUACCAAGGCAACGAUCCCUAGCUGGUCUGAGAGGAUGACCAGUCACACUGGAACUGGGACACGGUCCAGACUCCUACGGGAGGCAGCAGUAGGGAAUAUUGCGCAAUGGACSAAAGUCUGACSCAGCGWCGCCGCGUGAGUGAUGAAGGCCUUAGGGUCGUAAAGCUCUGUUGAAUGGGAAGAAAAAAAUGACGGUACCAUUCGAGGAAGGACCGGCUAACUUCSUGCCAGCAGCCGCGGUAAUACGAGGGGUCCUAGCGUUGUUCGGAAUCAUUGGGCGUAAAGGGUGUGUAGGUGGCUAUGUAAGUCAGGUGUGAAAGCCCCGGGCUCAACCCGGGAAGUGCAUCUGAUACUGCGUAGCUUGAGUACCGAAGAGGAUAGUGGAAUUCCAGGUGUAGUGGUGAAAUACGUAGAUAUCUGGAGGAACACCGGUGGCGAAGGYGGCUAUCUGGUCGAGUACUGACACUGAGACACGAAAGCAUGGGGAUCAAACAGGAUUAGAUACCCUGGUAGUCC
RNAcentral lists this ribosomal RNA (762 nucleotides) under uncultured bacterium. Its description in RNAcentral is "bacterial SSU rRNA". It matches the Rfam family "Bacterial small subunit ribosomal RNA", at positions 8 to 796 of the family's 1533-position model. The record is from RNAcentral.